RNAcentral lists this ribosomal RNA (497 nucleotides) under uncultured bacterium. RNAcentral's name for it is "partial 16S ribosomal RNA". It matches the Rfam family "Bacterial small subunit ribosomal RNA", at positions 28 to 507 of the family's 1533-position model. The record is from RNAcentral.
GAUGAACGCUGGCGGCGUGCCUAAUACAUGCAAGUCGAGCGAACGGACGAGAAGCUUGCUUCUCUGAUGUUAGCGGCGGACGGGGGAGUAACACGUGGAUAACCUACCUAUAAGACUGGGAUAACUUCGGGAAACCGGAGCUAAUACCGGAUGAUAUUUUGAACCGCAUGGUUCAAAAGUGAAAGACGGUCUUGCUUUCACUUAUAGAUGGAUCCGCGCUGCAUUAUCUAGUUGUUAAGGUAACGGCUUACCAAGGCAACGAGGCAUAGCCGACCUGAGAGGGUGAUCGGCCACAGUGGAACUGAGACACGGUCCAGACUCCUACGGGAGGCAGCAGUAGGGAAUCUUCCGCAAUGGGCGAAAGCCUGACGGAGCAACGCCGCGUGAGUGAUGAAGGUCUUCGGAUCGUAAAACUCUGUUAUUAGGGAAGAACAUAUGUGUAAGUAACUGUGCACAUCUUGACGGUACCUAAUCAGAAAGCCACGGCUAACUACGUG